This 616-nucleotide ribosomal RNA is filed under the name uncultured organism. RNAcentral describes it as "bacterial SSU rRNA". It matches the Rfam family "Bacterial small subunit ribosomal RNA", at positions 200 to 833 of the family's 1533-position model. The record is from RNAcentral.
GGUAAAGCUUUUGCGGUUUGGGAUGGGCCUGCGUCCUAUCAGGUAGUUGGUGAGGUAAAUGCUCACCAAGCCUAUGACGGGUAGCUGGUCUGAGAGGAUGGUCAGCCAGACUGGGACUGCGACACGGCCCAGACUCCUACGGGAGGCAGCAACUAGGAAUUGUGCGCAAUGGACGAAAGUCUGACGCCGCGACAUCGCGUGGAGGAUGAAGGUCUUCGGAUUGUAAACUCCUUUUCUUACCGAACAAGUUCUGAGUGUAGGUAAGGAAUAAGUGCCUGCUAACCACGUGCCAGAAGCAUCGGUAAUACGUGGGGCACGAGCGUUAUCCGGAUUUACUGGGCGUAAAGAGAAGCGUAGGCGGCUCGAUAAGUUUGGUGUUAAAUCUUCCGGCUCAACCGGAAACAAGCACCGAAAACUAUCGAGAUUGAGUCGAGUAGGGAAGAGGGGAAUUCCUGGUGGAGCGGUUAAAUGCGUAGAUAUCAGGAGGAAUACCAAGGGCGAAGGCACCUCUUUGGACUCGUACUGACGCUGAGGCUCGAAAGCGUGGGUAGCAAAACGGAUUAGAUACCCGUGUAGUCCACGCCGUAAACGAUCCCUGUUAGAUGUAUGUUUUGUC